Chaetomidium leptoderma is the source of this 94-nucleotide non-coding RNA. The record is from the annotation of a GenBank genome assembly. NCBI's taxonomy places the organism in Eukaryota, Fungi, Ascomycota, Sordariomycetes, Sordariales, Chaetomiaceae.
AGUCCUAUGGUCUAGCGGUUAAGAUUUCGCUCUUAUACCUCUCGUCAAAGGUCAUGGGUAUGCGACGGCCCGGGUUCGAUCCCCGGUAGGACUA